This 322-nucleotide ribosomal RNA is filed under the name uncultured eukaryote. RNAcentral describes it as "partial 18S ribosomal RNA". It matches the Rfam family "Eukaryotic small subunit ribosomal RNA", at positions 1470 to 1796 of the family's 1831-position model. The record is from RNAcentral.
CCCUUAGAUGUUCUGGGCCGCACGCGUGCUACACUGAGUAAAUCAAUGGGUAAGGGAACACGAAAGUGCAACCUAAUCUUGAAAUUUGCUCGUGAUGGGGAUCGACGGUUGCAAUUUUCCGUCGUGAACGAGGAAUACCUUGUAGGCGCGUGUAAUCAUCACGCGCCGAAUACGUCCCUGCCCUUUGUACACACCGCCCGUCGCUCCUACCGAUUGAGUGAUCCGGUGAGGCUCUGGGACCUGGACGGAAAGAGCGUUUCGCUUGUUCUGUUUGGGAAACUUGGUCGAACCUUAUCAUUUAGAGGAAGGAGAAGUCGUAACA